RNAcentral lists this ribosomal RNA (347 nucleotides) under uncultured bacterium. Its description in RNAcentral is "bacterial SSU rRNA". It matches the Rfam family "Bacterial small subunit ribosomal RNA", at positions 8 to 334 of the family's 1533-position model. The record is from RNAcentral.
AGGGUUUGAUUCUGGCUCAGGAUGAACGCCGGCGGCGUGCCUAACACAUGCAAGUCGAACGGAGUUAUUUUGGAAAGUUCCUUCGGGGACUGGAAUCUAUAACUUAGUGGCGGACGGGUGAGUAACGCGUGAGCAAUCUGCCUUUAGGAGGGGGAUAACAGUCGGAAACGGCUGCUAAUACCGCAUAAUACGUUUUAGAGGCAUCUCUUGAACGUCAAAGAUUUUUAUCGCCUUUAGAUGAGCUCGCGUCUGAUUAGCUAGUUGGCGGGGUAACGGCCCACCAAGGCGACGAUCAGUAGCCGGACUGAGAGGUUGAACGGCCACAUUGGGACUGAGACACGGCCCAG